Molecule: ribosomal RNA, 769 nt
Filed under: Suillellus lacrymibasidiatus
Lineage: Eukaryota; Fungi; Basidiomycota; Agaricomycetes; Boletales; Boletaceae
Description: partial large subunit ribosomal RNA
Rfam family: Eukaryotic large subunit ribosomal RNA
Source: RNAcentral
UAGUAACUGCGAGUGAAGCGGGAUGAGCUCAAAUUUCGAAUCUGGCGGUCUUCGGCCGUCCGAGUUGUAAUCUAGAGAAGCGUCGUCCGCGCUGGACCGUGUAUAAGUCUCCUGGAAGGGAGCGUCGUAGAGGGUGAGAAUCCCGUCUUUGACACGGACUACCAGUGCUAUGUGAUGCGCUCUCGACGAGUCGAGUUGUUUGGGAAUGCAGCUCAAAAUGGGUGGUAAAUUCCAUCUAAAGCUAAAUACAGGCGAGAGACCGAUAGCGAACAAGUACCGUGAGGGAAAGAUGAAAAGAACUUUGGAAAGAGAGUUAAACAGUACGUGAAAUUGCUGAAAGGGAAACGCUUGAUGUCAGUCGCGUCGGCCGGGGAUCAACCUUGCUUCUCUGCUGGGUGUACUUCCUGGUCGACGGGUCAGCGUCAGUUUCGGUCGUCGUACAAGGGCGAGGGGAACGUGGCACUCUUCGGAGUGUGUUAUAGCCUUUCGUCGUAUGCGGCGGGUCGGGACUGAGGAACUCAGCACGGCUUCGGUUUGUGCUUAGGAUGCUGGCAUAAUGGCCUUAAGCGACCCGUCUUGAAACACGGACCAAGGAGUCUAACAUGCCUGCGAGUGUUUGGGUGGCAAACCCGAGCGCGCAAUGAAAGUGAAAGUUGAGACCUCUGUCGUGGAGGGCAUCGACGCCCGGACCUGAGUCUUUGACGACGGAUCUGCGGUAGAGCAUGCAUGUUGGGACCCGAAAGAUGGUGAACUAUGCCUGAAUAGGGUG